GCCGAGGUGACAGAGCGGCCAUGUGGCGGACUGCAGAUCCGUACACGGGAGUUCAAAUCUCCCCCUCGGCC
Molecule: transfer RNA, 71 nt
Filed under: Methanobacteriota archaeon
Lineage: Archaea; Methanobacteriati; Methanobacteriota
Description: Euryarchaeota archaeon (groundwater metagenome) tRNA-Cys
Rfam family: tRNA
About the family: Transfer RNA (tRNA) molecules are approximately 80 nucleotides in length.
Source: RNAcentral